This 460-nucleotide ribosomal RNA is filed under the name uncultured bacterium. RNAcentral describes it as "partial 16S ribosomal RNA". It matches the Rfam family "Bacterial small subunit ribosomal RNA", at positions 338 to 795 of the family's 1533-position model. The record is from RNAcentral.
CCUACGUGUGGCAGCAGUGAGGAAUAUUGGUCAAUGGGCGAGAGCCUGAACCAGCCAAGUCGCGUGAAGGAUGACGGCCCUACGGGUUGUAAACUUCUUUUGUCAUGGAGCAAUUGGGUCCACGCGUGGGCUUAGCGAGAGUACCUGAAGAAAAAGCAUCGGCUAACUCCGUGCCAGCAGCCGCGGUAAUACGGAGGAUGCGAGCGUUAUCCUGAUUUAUUGGGUUUAAAGGGUGCGUAGGCGGAAUAUCAAGUCAGCGGUAAAAAUUCGGGGCUCAACCCCGUCGUGCCGUUGAAACUGAUGUUCUUGAGUGGGCGAGAAGGAUGCGGAAUGCGGGGUGUAGCGGUGAAAUGCAUAGAGAUAGGGAGGAACACCAGUGGCGAAGGCGGCCUGCUGGGCUCUAACUGACGCUGAGGCACGAAAGCGUGGGUAGCAAACAGGAUUAGAUACCCUAGUAGUC